UUCAUCGCUUGACGAGAUUGA
Molecule: non-coding RNA, 21 nt
Filed under: Caenorhabditis elegans
Lineage: Eukaryota; Metazoa; Nematoda; Chromadorea; Rhabditida; Rhabditidae
Source: RNAcentral